AGAUUGAACGCUGGCGGAAUGCUUUACACAUGCAAGUCGAGCGGCAGCGCGGGGGCAACCCUGGCGGCGAGCGGCGAACGGGUGAGUAAUACAUCGGAACAUGUCCAGUUGUGGGGGAUAGCCCGGCGAAAGCCGGAUUAAUACCGCAUGAGCUCGAGAGAGGAAAGCGGGGGACCGUAAGGCCUCGCGCGACUGGGGUUGCCGAUGUCCGAUUAGCUAGGUUGGUAGGGGUAAACGCCUACCAAGGCGAUGAUCGGUAGCUGGUCUGAGAGGAUGAUCAGCCACACUGGGACUGAGACACGCCAGACCUCCGACGGGAGGCAGCAGGUGGGUAAUUUGACGAGU
This 345-nucleotide ribosomal RNA is filed under the name uncultured soil bacterium. RNAcentral describes it as "bacterial SSU rRNA". It matches the Rfam family "Bacterial small subunit ribosomal RNA", at positions 26 to 372 of the family's 1533-position model. The record is from RNAcentral.